AAUAGAUACCCAGGUAGUCCGCGCCGUAAACGUUGGGCGCUAGGUGUGGGGGCCAUUCCACGGUCUCCGUGCCGCAGCUAACGCAUUAAGCGCCCCGCCUGGGGAGUACGGCCGCAAGGCUAAAACUCAAAGGAAUUGACGGGGGCCCGCACAAGCGGCGGAGCAUGUUGCUUAAUUCGAUGCAACGCGAAGAACCUUACCUAGGCUUGACAUGCACGGAAAUCUCGCAGAGAUGCGGGGUCCGUAAGGGCCGUGCACAGGUGGUGCAUGGUUGUCGUCAGCUCGUGUCGUGAGAUGUUGGGUUAAGUCCCGCAACGAGCGCAACCCUCGUUCCAUGUUGCCAGCACGUGAUGGUGGGGACUCAUGGGAGACUGCCGGGGUCAACUCGGAGGAAGGUGGGGAUGACGUCAAAUCAUCAUGCCCCGUUAUGUCUAGGGCUGCAAACAUGCUACAAUGGCCGGUACAAAGGGCUGCGAUACCGUGAGGUGGAGCGAAUCCCAAAAAGCCGGUCUCAGUUCGGAUUGGGGU
Molecule: ribosomal RNA, 528 nt
Filed under: uncultured bacterium
Lineage: Bacteria
Description: bacterial SSU rRNA
Rfam family: Bacterial small subunit ribosomal RNA
Source: RNAcentral